UUUGCCAUUUUAAUUUCUAAUUUCAUUUUUCUUUUUUAUUUCUUUAAUUCCAUUUCAUUUCAAAAAAUCAUAUCUCCUUCAUUAUUGGUCCAAAAAAUGUGAGACCAAUUGCAUUUUUCUUCUUUUAAUUUCUAGUUUCUAAAAAUGAUUUUUAAUAUUUUUAUUUUAUCAUUUGAUAUUUUUUAUGAAUUUUCUCUUUUCUGGUUAUUUUUAAUUCAUUUUAAAUAGUUU
Molecule: long non-coding RNA, 231 nt
Filed under: Lathyrus oleraceus (garden pea)
Lineage: Eukaryota; Viridiplantae; Streptophyta; Magnoliopsida; Fabales; Fabaceae
Description: Pisum sativum (pea) long non-coding RNA (PSAT_LNC035445)
Source: RNAcentral